CCCUCAGUAAUAUCCAAAGGGCGUCCAGAGGGUGGGGAAAAUCCCUACAGUACAGCUUUUCUCCAAAAAGAAGGUAUACACUGCCCCUAUUAUUUUAUUUUUUUUGCCCCUAUUUUAUUUUCUAACUUGAUUCAUAGCACGCUAUUAUCUUCUUUCAUCAGUGAACUACGCAGAGGGGAUUCCACCCUCCCCAAGACGGCCCCAGGCAAGGUCAAGGGUUUACCUUGUCAUAAUAGUAUCGCAGGGCUCUGCUCAGCUUAUCAUAGUUCAUAUUUGUUUUGUUUUUUCGGAGUCCCCACAGCUUGGCCACUUCUUCUGCUUUGAGGAGCUUGAAUUCACCAUCGUUCGAGGUCCAGCAGAUCAAAUGCUCAUGUUUCUGAUCCAGCAGCAACUGCAACAGGAACUGCCACAGCGUGAUUGCACUCUCCAUACCUGCGGGGAGAGGCGGCCAGGUUUCCUGAGGCCUCCCCAGAAACCCAGCAGAUGCCAGCAUCAUGCUUCCUGUACAGCCCGCAGAACUGUGAGACAAUUAAACCGCUUUUCUUUAU
This 548-nucleotide non-coding RNA is filed under the name Pongo abelii (Sumatran orangutan). Lineage: Eukaryota; Metazoa; Chordata; Mammalia; Primates; Hominidae. The record is from RNAcentral.